UCCAGGGACUAGUGGUUAGGCCUCGGUGCUCUCACCGCCAUGGCCCAGGUUCGAUUCCCAGCCAGGGAA
Pangasianodon gigas (Mekong giant catfish) is the source of this 69-nucleotide non-coding RNA. The record is from the annotation of a GenBank genome assembly. Lineage: Eukaryota; Metazoa; Chordata; Actinopteri; Siluriformes; Pangasiidae.